RNAcentral lists this ribosomal RNA (1550 nucleotides) under Salmonella enterica subsp. enterica serovar Adjame. Its description in RNAcentral is "bacterial SSU rRNA". It matches the Rfam family "Bacterial small subunit ribosomal RNA". Lineage: Bacteria; Pseudomonadati; Pseudomonadota; Gammaproteobacteria; Enterobacterales; Enterobacteriaceae. The record is from RNAcentral.
AAAUUGAAGAGUUUGAUCAUGGCUCAGAUUGAACGCUGGCGGCAGGCCUAACACAUGCAAGUCGAACGGUAACAGGAAGCAGCUUGCUGCUUUGCUGACGAGUGGCGGACGGGUGAGUAAUGUCUGGGAAACUGCCUGAUGGAGGGGAUAACUACUGGAAACGGUGGCUAAUACCGCAUAACGUCGCAAGACCAAAGAGGGGGACCUUCGGGCCUCUUGCCAUCAGAUGUGCCCAGAUGGGAUUAGCUUGUUGGUGAGGUAACGGCUCACCAAGGCGACGAUCCUAGCUGGUCUGAGAGGAUGACCAGCCACACUGGAACUGAGACACGGUCCAGACUCCUACGGGAGGCAGCAGUGGGGAAUAUUGCACAAUGGGCGCAAGCCUGAUGCAGCCAUGCCGCGUGUAUGAAGAAGGCCUUCGGGUUGUAAAGUACUUUCAGCGGGGAGGAAGGUGUUGCGGUUAAUAACCGCAGCAAUUGACGUUACCCGCAGAAGAAGCACCGGCUAACUCCGUGCCAGCAGCCGCGGUAAUACGGAGGGUGCAAGCGUUAAUCGGAAUUACUGGGCGUAAAGCGCACGCAGGCGGUCUGUCAAGUCGGAUGUGAAAUCCCCGGGCUCAACCUGGGAACUGCAUUCGAAACUGGCAGGCUUGAGUCUUGUAGAGGGGGGUAGAAUUCCAGGUGUAGCGGUGAAAUGCGUAGAGAUCUGGAGGAAUACCGGUGGCGAAGGCGGCCCCCUGGACAAAGACUGACGCUCAGGUGCGAAAGCGUGGGGAGCAAACAGGAUUAGAUACCCUGGUAGUCCACGCCGUAAACGAUGUCUACUUGGAGGUUGUGCCCUUGAGGCGUGGCUUCCGGAGCUAACGCGUUAAGUAGACCGCACGGGAGUACGGCCGCAAGGUUAAAACUCAAAUGAAUUGACGGGGGCCCGCACAAGCGGUGGAGCAUGUGGUUUAAUUCGAUGCAACGCGAAGAACCUUACCUGGUCUUGACAUCCACAGAACUUUCCAGAGAUGGAUUGGUGCCUUCGGGAACUGUGAGACAGGUGCUGCAUGGCUGUCGUCAGCUCGUGUUGUGAAAUGUUGGGUUAAGUCCCGCAACGAGCGCAACCCUUAUCCUUUGUUGCCAGCGGUUAGGCCGGGAACUCAAAGGAGACUGCCAGUGAUAAACUGGAGGAAGGUGGGGAUGACGUCAAGUCAUCAUGGCCCUUACGACCGGGCUACACACGUGCUACAAUGGCGCAUACAAAGAGAAGCGACCUCGCGAGAGCAAGCGGACCUCAUAAAGUGCGUCGUAGUCCGGAUUGGAGUCUGCAACUCGACUCCAUGAAGUCGGAAUCGCUAGUAAUCGUGGAUCAGAAUGCCACGGUGAAUACGUUCCCGGGCCUUGUACACACCGCCCGUCACACCAUGGGAGUGGGUUGCAAAAGAAGUAGGUAGCUUAACCUUCGGGAGGGCGCUUACCACUUUGUGAUUCAUGACUGGGGUGAAGUCGUAACAAGGUAACCGUAGGGGAACCUGCGGUUGGAUCACCUCCUUACCUUAAAGAAGC